RNAcentral lists this long non-coding RNA (458 nucleotides) under Manihot esculenta (cassava). Its description in RNAcentral is "long non-coding RNA (MESC_LNC003195)". Lineage: Eukaryota; Viridiplantae; Streptophyta; Magnoliopsida; Malpighiales; Euphorbiaceae. The record is from RNAcentral.
UGUUGUCCCUUGAGGCAACCCAAGAGGGGGGGUGAAUUGGGUUUAUAAAAAAUUUAAUGGCAAAGACAAGAAAUUAGAAGAGAAUAGGGAAGAGAAAAAUCAACACAAUGAUUUAUAGAGGUUCAGCUAUCCAAGCCUACGUCCUCUCCUCAAGGUCCACUUGAGAGUUCAACUCCACUAUCAAAUCUUCUUUGGGUGAAGAUCAAAACCCUUACAAUCUUAGAGCAAACCUUUGCUCUUUACAAAUCUCCUUUUUCACUCAAGAGCAAUUCUUUGCUCAAUGCCACACUCACAACAACAGAAUCUCUCAACAACCUUUACUCACUCUGAAAAGCCAAUCAAUUACAACACAAAUCAAGCUUUCAAGAAAUCAAUGCUUUGGCUCAAGGUUUUGAGAGAGAGAGAGAAUGAAAAAGCUGUAAUCUCAAUAAAUAUUUGCUUAGAUGGUUGUUGUAACC